AUUCCAGCUCCAAUAGCGUAUAUUAAAGUUGUUGCAGUUAAAGAGCUCGUAGUUGAACUUCUGGCUAUUCUUCCAGCUGGCUUCGGUCGCUGUAAGAGUGGUCAUCCGCUUGGGAACUACGUUCGAACUUCACUGUUCGGCGUAAGGAACAGGCAUUUUACUUAGAAAAAAUUAGAGUGUUCAAGGCAGGCUAUCGCCCUGAAUACACAAGCUUGGAAUAAUGAAAUAGGACUAUUUCCAUUUUAUUGGCUAUUGGAAUUAGUAAUGAUUAAUAGGGACAGUUGGGGACAUUAGUAUUUAAUUGUCAGAGGUGAAAUUCUUGGAUUUAUUAAAGACUAACUUAUGCGAAAGCAUUUGUCAAGGAUGUUUUCAUCG
Molecule: ribosomal RNA, 375 nt
Rfam family: Eukaryotic small subunit ribosomal RNA